UCCCUGUACUUGUUGGUCCAGUCUCUUACUUGUUGCUUUCCAAGGCUGCCAAGGGUGUUGACAAGUCCUUUGAUCUCCUUUCCCUUCUACCAAAAAUCCUCCCUGUCUACAAGUAAGAAAUCACUUUUUAUUAUGGGAUCCAUACUAUUGAUUUUAUGAAUGAUCCUCUGACAUUACAUUGCUAUGAUGACUUUAAUUUGUGUACAGGGAAGUGAUUUCUGAGCUUAAGGCAGCUGGUGCCACCUGGAUUCAGCUUGACGAGCCUGUCCUUGUUAUGGAUCUUGAGGGCCACAAGCUUCAGGCCUUUACCGGUGCCUACGCUGAGCUUGAAUCAACUCUUUCUGGUUUGAAUGUUCUUGUGGAGACCUACUUCGCUGAUAUCCCUGCUGAGGCAUACAAGACCCUAACAUCGUUGAAGGGUGUGACUGCCUUCGGGUUUGAUUUGGUUCGUGGCACCAAGACCCUUGAUUUGGUCAAGGCUGGUUUCCCAGAGGGAAAAUACCUCUUUGCUGGUGUUGUUGAUGGAAGGAACAUCUGGGCCAAUGACUUUGCUGCGUCUCUAAGCACCUUGCAGGCACUUGAGGGCAUUGUUGGUAAAGGUAAUAUGUUUGUCCAGAAUCAUUUGCGUUUUACCUGAAAAUAUUGGGAAUUACUGAAAACAUAUAAUUGAAAUGCUUAUCUGUUAUCUUUUUGUAUUUAUGCAGACAAGCUUGUGGUCUCAACCUCCUGCUCCCUUCUCCACACCGCUGUUGAUCUUAUCAACGAGACCAAGCUUGAUGAUGAAAUCAAGUCAUGGAUGGCGUUUGCUGCCCAGAAGGUCAUUGAAGUGAAUGCAUUGGCCAAGGCUUUGGCUGGUCAGAAGGAUGAGGUAUUAUUUGCACCCACAUGCUUCUCUAGCAGUGGACCCUUGAAUCAUCUGUAGAAAUUAUUUUGAAAACACUAGAAAUCUAAUAUUUAUCUUCUUUCAGGCCCUUUUCUCUGCCAAUGCUGCAGCUUUGGCUUCAAGGAGGUCUUCCCCAAGAGUCACCAACGAGGGUGUUCAGAAGGCUGUAAGUUUGAUGUCAAACCUACACACUGUUCUCAUUCAAUGAUUAAAAAAAAAAAAAUCUUAUAUUGAUUGAGAUUCUUUUAUUUCAGGCUGCUGCUUUGAAGGGAUCUGACCACCGUCGUGCAACUAAUGUUAGUGCUAGACUAGAUGCUCAGCAGAAGAAGCUCAACCUCCCAAUCCUGCCAACCACAACCAUUGGAUCCUUCCCACAGACUGUAGAGCUCAGGAGAGUUCGUCGUGAGUACAAGGCAAAGAAGUUAGUCUCCUAAAUUCAGUUCUUAUUCAUAUGUGUCACACAUCCUUAUAUUGUUGUUGAUGCUAAUAGUUUCUCUAAUUUUUUGUUUACUAGGGUUUCUGAGGAGGACUACGUUAAGGCCAUGAAGGAAGAGAUCAAGAAAGUUGUUGACCUCCAAGAGGAACUUGACAUCGAUGUUCUUGUCCACGGAGAGCCAGAGGUGAGAUUCUUCAAAAAAAAAUUACAUUAUUUUGUAGACCUUACUGUUUCUGAUGCGACAUGUUUUCACAAAUUGUAGAGGAACGACAUGGUUGAGUACUUUGGGGAGCAGUUGUCUGGAUUUGCCUUCACUGCAAACGGAUGGGUACAAUCUUAUGGAUCUCGCUGUGUCAAGCCACCAGUUAUCUACGGUGAUGUGAGCCGUCCCAAGGCAAUGACUGUCUUCUGG
RNAcentral lists this long non-coding RNA (1731 nucleotides) under Capsella grandiflora. RNAcentral describes it as "long non-coding RNA (CGRA_LNC001468)". The record is from RNAcentral. Lineage: Eukaryota; Viridiplantae; Streptophyta; Magnoliopsida; Brassicales; Brassicaceae.